CCCACCUCGGCUCCCCAAAGUGCUGGGAUUACAGGCGUGAGCCACUGCACCCGGCCUCAACAGGCUAUGUUUUAAAUGGAGUAAUCCAAUGAUAAGAGGGGAGAAAAAAAAGGGAAAAAAACCAACCAACCAACGAACUGAGCCUGAAACUGGUAACACAGAUACGUACAGCAUCAUAUUUAAGUAACCAAUCGGAAUUAUUGCAGUGGAGAUGUUUUAUUGGAACCAACUUCUUCAAAGGAGUCAGGAAUUAUUUAUGAUAGAAACUACUGAAACAAUACUAAGGAGUUCAUAGGUUGCUGAGAAGGUAGCUUCCUGCCCUCUGCUUGAGGAACACGGAUGGAAGAAAGGAGAAGAUUUGGUCAACACAGCUCCUGAAAUGCUGAUUAAGCAUUAUGGGAUUUAAGGUUUCCUGGCCAAGUCUGAGCUAAAAUGUUAACACUCCUGAAGAACCCCAUAAAGAAAGAAAAACAAAAACAAAAAAAAAUCUCUCGUUUUUUUGCUUCUCAGUCAAUCUUCA
This 520-nucleotide long non-coding RNA is filed under the name Pan troglodytes (chimpanzee). RNAcentral's name for it is "lncRNA (ENSPTRG00000054204.1)". The record is from RNAcentral. Lineage: Eukaryota; Metazoa; Chordata; Mammalia; Primates; Hominidae.